UACGUAGGGGGCUAGCGUUGUCCGGAUUUAUUGGGCGUAAAGAGCGUGUAGGCGGCCAGGUAGGUCUGGUGUGAAAACUCGAGGCUUAACCUCGAGAUGUCAUCGGAAACCAUCUGGCUAGAGUCCGGAAGAGGAGAGUGGAAUUCCUGGUGUAGCGGUGAAAUGCGCAGAUAUCAGGAAGAACACCAAUGGCGAAAGCAGCUCUCUGGGACGGUACUGACGCUGAGACGCGAAAGCGUGGGGAGCGGACAGG
This 253-nucleotide ribosomal RNA is filed under the name uncultured bacterium. RNAcentral's name for it is "partial 16S ribosomal RNA". It matches the Rfam family "Bacterial small subunit ribosomal RNA", at positions 524 to 776 of the family's 1533-position model. The record is from RNAcentral.